UUGCCAGCCCGCUCAGACACUUAAGGAAUUGACGGGGCCGCACAAGCGGUGGAGCAUGUGGUUAAUUCGAAGCAACGCGAAGAACCUUACCUGGGUUUGAACUGCAGUGGAAGACGCCAGAGAUGGCGUCGCCCCUUCGGGGCCGCUGUGGAGGUGCUGCAUGGCUGUCGUCAGCUCGUGUCGUGAGAUGUUGGGUUAAGUCCCGCAACGAGCGCAACCCUUGCUCAUAGUUGCCAGCGGUUCGGCCGGGCACUCUAUGGGGACUGCCGGUGAUAAACCGGAGGAAGGUGGGGAUGACGUCAAGUCCUCAUGGCCCUUAUGUCCAGGGCUACACACGUGCUACAAUGGGCGGUACAGAGGGUUGCCAACCCGCGAGGGGGAGCCAAUCCCAGAAAGCCGUCCUCAGUUCAGAUUGGAGUCUGCAACUCGACUCCAUGAAGGUGGAAUCGCUAGUAAUCGCGGAUCAGCACGCCGCGGUGAAUACGUUCCCGGGCCUU
This 497-nucleotide ribosomal RNA is filed under the name uncultured Holophagae bacterium. Its description in RNAcentral is "bacterial SSU rRNA". It matches the Rfam family "Bacterial small subunit ribosomal RNA", at positions 904 to 1382 of the family's 1533-position model. The record is from RNAcentral. Lineage: Bacteria; Pseudomonadati; Acidobacteriota; Holophagae.